Long non-coding RNA from Anguilla anguilla (European eel), 589 nucleotides. RefSeq lists it as uncharacterized. NCBI's taxonomy places the organism in Eukaryota, Metazoa, Chordata, Actinopteri, Anguilliformes, Anguillidae. The record is from RefSeq and is a predicted model, not a curated record. The transcript is spliced from 3 exons.
GUUUGGUUAUCCAGUUUGACAGUGAGUGUUCUCAUCUUUCUUUCUGUAUCCUGUCUAGUCAUUUUUCUUUUCGGUUCUGGGCGCCCGAAGGCUUCUUUCUCCCAUCCAUGAUGUGCAACUGCAGGAGAACCAUCUCUGCUGGAGGACCUAAAGAUCAAGACCAUAGCUGACAAGUACAGGAAGACCACAGUGCAGCUCCUGAUCCGUUUCCAUGACCAGAGGAAUGUGAUUGUUAUCCCCAAGUCUACAAUGCUUCACUGCAUAAACAAAAAAAUUCAGGUAAUUCAGGACAUUACCUUUACAGGUCUUUGACUUUGAGCUGAGCGAGGAUGACAUGGUGACUCUCAUGAGCUUCAACAGGAACUGGAGAGCCUCUCCCUUCAUCUGGUGAGCAUGGAUCUCAGAGGGUGGAGCCAACAACCACCUCUCACUAAUUCACAUCUGUACACCAAAUAUGCUUAGAAACCCUGCAGCCCCUUGAAUUUCUCCAUUCUCCAUCUUAUGUGUAUUCUUUUUGUUUGAGGGGAACAAACUGUAAAGCCUUUAAGCGAGUACUGAGCUCUCCAUUUGGCUAUGAAGGAGGAAGAAU